Molecule: non-coding RNA, 1882 nt
Organism: Taeniopygia guttata (zebra finch)
Lineage: Eukaryota; Metazoa; Chordata; Aves; Passeriformes; Estrildidae
Source: RefSeq, a predicted model, not a curated record
GAUGCACUGGGAGGGACUUUGAGAUGCUCCCAGCGAGGAAUAUUCCACAUUUCUGGGAUCCAGUAACUCCUGAGGGCCUGACCCCAUCAAAUCCCAGCUGAGGAGUCACCUGUGGGACAAAGUGUUCCAUUUUUAUGGGGUGAAGCCCCAAAUCCCAGCUGAGGAGUCACCUGUGGGACAAAGUGUUCCAUUUUUAUGGAGUGGAGUUCCAAAUCCCAGCUGAGGAGUGGCCUGUGGGACAAAAUGUUCCUUUUUUGUGGGGUGGAGCCCCAAAAAAUCCCAGCUGAGGAAUGACUUGUUUAGGAAUUCAUUGAGAAAUGAAUUUGAUUUGGACAAGAAGUUCCUUUUUUGUGGAGUGAGUCCCCACAUCCCAGCUGAGCAAUGACCUGUGGCAUGAGAUGUCCCAUUUUUUUUGGAGUGAAGCCCCAAAUCAACAUCAAAUCCCAGCUGAGGAAUGACUUUUAGGAUAAAGUGUUCAGUUUUUAUGGUGUGAAGCCCCAAAUCAACAUCAAAUCCCAGCUGAGGAAUAACUUCUUGAGGAAUUCAUUGAGAAAUUGAUUUGAUUUGGACAAGAUGCUCCAUUUUUGUGGGUUGAAGCUCCAAAUCAAUAUCAAAUCUCAGCUGAGGAGUGACUUGUGGGACAAAGUUAAAUUUUUAUGGAGUGGAGCCCCAAAUCCCAGCUGAGGAAUGACUUGUGGGACAAAGUGUUCCAUUUUUAUGGGGUGGAGCCCCAAAUCAACAUCAAAUCCCAGCUGAGGAAUAACUUCUCGAGGAAAUCAUUGAGAAAUUAAUUUGGACAAGAUGCUCCAUUUUUAUGGAGUGGAGCCCCAAAUAAACAUCAAAUCCCAGCUGAGGAAUGACCUGUGGGACAAAGUUCCAUUUUUUUUUGGAGUGAAGCCCCAAACCAGCCCCUGCAGUGCCUCCCCACCCAGCUCCUUUAGGGCUAUAGCAGCUUCCAAAAUUCUGAAUUAUUUCAGAUUUUUUUUCCAUAUUUAAUUCCUAGUUUCUUUUCUCAUUGUUUUUAAGUUGUGCAUGACAUAGGAAUUUUUUUUUUUUUUUUGGUUAUUUGGGCUGAUCCGUUCUUCUUAAGGAGUGGAAUGUGUAAAUAGCUGGAAUGCAGAUUUUUUUCAGGAGAUUCUUUAAAGUCAGAGAAAGGGGGAGGGAAGGAAGUGAUUCUCUUGUGUCCCAAAGUCCAUGUCAGAGAGAGUAAAUAUUUCCUCUGGUGUGAAAAAUAUUUUUAUAACUGGUUGAAAGUGCAGGUAUUGAGUUUAUCAGGAAAAAGAGAGUUAAGGAAUACUAAAAUUAGCAGAUUCUUGUCUGAAUUUUUUUCAUGUCCAAAAAAACUGUUGAUUGCAAAUAGUUGCUUCAAGCAUUGACAAGGGCCACCUUUUGCCUAUGAAGUCGUCUCAAAAAAAAAUAAAAUCUUGCAUUGAUUUUAAAAAAAGUAAAAAAAAAAAAAAACAGGAAAAAAUUUAAAAAAAAAACCAAGAAAAAAAAGCAAAAAAAAAAAAAUCUUUAAUCCAAGUAGCAUUAGGUAUUGCUGUCUGAUCAGUCGUAUGGUUAUUUGAAAGGUUCACAUGAUGUGGCAUCAAAAAUUGUUUUUAGUGUUUUUACAGCAUCCCUCUGCCACUAAAUAGUUGACUUGAAUUUUGGAAAAAGGAAACUGUUGGUGUUUAUAUGUAUAUGUGUGUGUAUAUAUGUAUUUAUAGAUCCGUGUGUGUGAGUUCCAGGUGAGUUCAAUAGUUUUUUCCCAUGCAUGUGUAUUUCAUACAUAUCUGGCUGAUAUAUUCUAUUUCACCAUACACCGAUUUUAUAAUUUAUUAAAUGUCAGUUAAAAAAAAGAGAAAAAAAAAAAAGAAAUAAAAGGAUAGAAAAUGGGAAA